Molecule: non-coding RNA, 653 nt
Organism: Pantherophis guttatus
Lineage: Eukaryota; Metazoa; Chordata; Lepidosauria; Squamata; Colubridae
Source: RefSeq, a predicted model, not a curated record
GCGCAGGCGCAGAAUUCUCAGCACACGUCGGCACAAGGAGGACCGGCCGGCGAGAAAACCUUCGGUCGCUUUAAGAGUCAAAAGAAAUAUCCACGUCGCCGCUGCCGCCGCUGGGCGUCUGUAGUUAGGGCGGAAGCCGGGCAAAUGACGCGGUGUUUAAGAGGCGGAAGCAAUAUGCACUUAAAUCACAACCCAAGAGAUGGAAGGAGCCAAGGAGAUAAUACCAUCCUAAGAACCCCAAAGCACCCCCCAAAGAGAGUUCCAAAACCCCACUUCAGUCAGGAUUGCCAACAGCCUCCAAGGUUAUCAGUGGGGCCCAAGUACAGUUGGAGCUGUGAAAUGAAACCUGCUUGUUAAAAAAAUAUAUCCUGGAUUCCCUGAUUAAAUAUGGUGAAUGUCUGAUUAAAUGAGCCGAGGUGGCGCAGUGGUUAGAGUGCAGUACAGCAGUUACUUCAGCUGACUGCUAGUUCAACAGAUCAGCGGAUCAAAUCUCACCGGCUCAAGGUUGACUCAGCCUUCCAUCCUUCCGAGGUGGGUAAAAUGAGGACACAGAUUGUUGGAGGCAAUAUGCUAUUUAGUAUACUGUCUUUGGUGUAAGCCACCCAGAGUCCUCGGAGAGUGGGCGGCAUAGAAAUAUGACAAAUAAAUAAAUA